GGAGAUGUUAACUUCUGGCUGGAAGGGAAACAUGGUACUUUUCCAGUAUGUGUAAGAAAUCUCUGCAAUAUAAUUGGUUUUGCUUUUUGUUCUUGUAUUUCCGGGUUUUCUUAUUCAUAAACUUAACCAUGUAUUGUUUGAUGAAAUGCCCCAAUGGAGUGAAGUUUAUUUAAUACUGGCUCACUUUGGAAAACCUCUAUUGGUUUUGUUACUAAUCAAGCUGGAAUUGCAUUUGGGGCUUUGGGCUAUGGAAAUGCUAAAGGGUAGUCUUAGACUCUUAGUUAUAGGUUUGGUGAGGUGAUUUUAGGGUCUAAAGUUGUUUCUUGUGGAAAAAACAGUUACAGCAUUGUUGAGUCAACUUCAUCAUGUGCUUUUUAUCAAUUAGCAUGCAAACAUACUUACAAAGCAGGACCAUCAGCUUUCAUUAAAUAAAAAUCUGAUUCAUAAUCAAGUACAUGAUCAAACUAAGGUGUGACAUCCCCCAACCAAGUUCUUGAUCCUACUCAUUUGCUAAACAUACCAAAUUGUGAGAAUCACAUUUAAUUGUCUCGUAAUGUGGAUAACUGGAGCCAUUUCUAACUCAAAGUCUUCAAUUAUUUAUGAAGCACUGGCACUUCAGAUUGAAGGUAUGUUCGGUGUCCAAAACAUGUCAGUCAUUCCAUUUUCUCAAAUUAUUAUCGGUGUUUACUUGUUAGUGUCGUGAUUCAAGUCUGUGUCGGUGUUUCAUAGUGAAUUAUUUGAUCAAUGGUAGCUAGGGAAGAUUUACCAUUUAUACAGUUUAUAACCAUUGUUGCAUUAAAAGCAAUAAUGACAUAUGUUGAGUUAUUGCUCUUCUAUGCAAUUUGUAGACUCCACCUCGCUUUCAAUGCUUCGGUAAGGAUAUGUUUCUUUCCUUCAAGCUGCAAUAACAAGACACCUUUACAAAGCUGCAAUCACCAUUCUAAUUAUGGAUAUUGUCUCAUAUGUUGGAGCGUGAUCGAGUUGACCUCUGCUUUCAGCUUUCCUACAGUUUUUUAAUACAAAUCAUGUUGCAACAGAACUCUAACACGACACUACUUUGAACUAUAUAUUAAAGAAAUCUUGCCUUUUUUUGUGUUGAGUUUCUUAAAAUUGAUUACAGCUUCUAUAGAGUACAGCUCUUAGUUCCUUGUUUAUUCGGAGAAUCGUUUUAAAGCACAUUAUGGGUUUAUGGUGAUCCCAUUGUAUAGCUUCUUAUGGAACCUUUGUUACUUUAAUUUCGAAACUUUUCUCACUAGCAUAUACUUUACUCAAUCCAGAAUUAUUAAAUAUAUAGCCCGUGGAGUGAUGGCACACUAAAAUAUUUGUAGUGAUGAAUCAAUAUAACCAAAGAAAUUUUAACUCAUCAUCAGAAUGAAUGGCUUAAUAUGAAAAUUGCUAAGUAAAACUAAAAACUAACUUCUUUUGUCACCAUUGCAGAUUUGCAGUACACAAGAAUGAAUGGAUGCUGUUUCGUCUUAUUGAACUGCAGAUCAAUGCAGAAAAGAAAGAAAAAAAACACAUUGGAGAAAAAUACUUGGAUGUUGUUUCAUCAUAUUCAAAGCCUUCAUCAGCUACACCCUCUGAAGCACCAAGGUUAAUCUUUCAUUUCAAUUAUCUAAUUUGCUUUCUCAUCAAGUGCCUUAGAUUUCUUCAAUGAUUUCAGCUCAUCAAUCAACAGAACCAAGGUGUUGUAAGAAUGUCCACCCUCCUCUAUAGUCCUUUUGGCAGCACCACCAAGCUGUUUUGCUCUCAUCCUCAUAUCCUUGCUCUCUUGGCCACUUCCCAUCAAAAUCUUCACAGCCUUAACUAUCUCUUCCCUUUUCACCACUGCCUCUACACUAACACUAUUCCAUAACUUAUUUUCUUUUGCUCCUACUGGGACCCCUAUCUUCAAAACAUCAACCAGUAACUUCUCAUUGUAAAAUUGGUCAGCAAACAUUGGCCAUGAGAUCAUUGGCAAACCAGCAUUCAAGCUUUCAAGAAUCGAGUUCCAACCACAGUGAGUCACAAUUCCUCCAGUUGCAGGGUGAUCCAAUAUCAGAAGCUGUGGUGCCCAAUUCCAUAUAAUAUAGCCCUUUUUGCUUUCUUUCAUCCUUUGUUCAAAAUCUUGCAGGAAACUGUUUUCACCGUCAUCUCUACCAUUUUUCCUUACAACCCAGAUAAAAUUAUGACCUGAAUCUUCAAGCCCGUGAGCAAUUUCUACAAGCUGAGCAUGAGCUAGCCUAGUAAGACUUCCAAAACUUACAUACAAAACUGACUCAUUUUCCUUUGAGUUAAGCCAAUUUAGCCAUGCUGCCUCUUUUCCAAGUUCCUCCGUAUGUCCUCUAUUGGCCUUCUUUUCAUCAUCCUUGUUAACCCAUGAUGAAACUGGUCCUACACUCCAAGAUUUGAUCCCCAAUGUACUUCUAUUAACUUUCUCAUAAUCACUUUCUAGCUCAUGAAAACUAUUGUAUAGUGUUCCAUAGCUUCUUUUCUCUGAUUGAAACAUUGGUUCAAAAUAGGGUGUAGCUGCAUUCUUCUCCCUUAACCAAUCAGGAAUCUGC
RNAcentral lists this long non-coding RNA (2543 nucleotides) under Trifolium pratense (red clover). RNAcentral's name for it is "long non-coding RNA (TPRA_LNC003067)". The record is from RNAcentral. Lineage: Eukaryota; Viridiplantae; Streptophyta; Magnoliopsida; Fabales; Fabaceae.